GAUGAACGCUGGCGGCGUGCCUAAUACAUGCAAGUCGAGCGAACAGACGAGGAGCUUGCUCCUCUGACGUUAGCGGCGGACGGGUGAGUAACACGUGGAUAACCUACCUAUAAGACUGGGAUAACUUCGGGAAACCGGAGCUAAUACCGGAUAAUAUAUUGAACCGCAUGGUUCAAUAGUGAAAGACGGUUUUGCUGUCACUUAUAGAUGGAUUCGCGCCGCAUUAGCUAGUUGGUAAGGUAACGGCUUACCAAGGCAACGAUGCGUAGCCGACCUGAGAGGGUGAUCGGCCACACUGGAACUGAGACACGGUCCAGACUCCUACGGGAGGCAGCAGUAGGGAAUCUUCCGCAAUGGGCGAAAGCCUGACGGAGCAACGCCGCGUGAAUGAUGAAGGUCUUCGGAUCGUAAAACUCUGUUAUUAGGGAAGAACAAAUGUGUAAGUAACUAUGCACGUCUUGACGGUACCUAAUCAGAAAGCCACGGCUAACUACGUG
RNAcentral lists this ribosomal RNA (497 nucleotides) under uncultured bacterium. Its description in RNAcentral is "partial 16S ribosomal RNA". It matches the Rfam family "Bacterial small subunit ribosomal RNA", at positions 28 to 507 of the family's 1533-position model. The record is from RNAcentral.